RNAcentral lists this ribosomal RNA (1604 nucleotides) under uncultured organism. Its description in RNAcentral is "partial 16S ribosomal RNA". It matches the Rfam family "Bacterial small subunit ribosomal RNA". The record is from RNAcentral.
GAGUUUGAUCCUGGCUCAGAUUGAACGCUGGCGGCAGGCCUAACACAUGCAAGUCGAGCGGUAGAGAGAAGCUUGCUUCUCUUGAGGGCGGCGGACGGGUGAGUAAUACCUGGGAAUCUGCCUGAUAGUGGGGGAUAACGUUCGGAAACGGACGCUAAUACCGCAUACGUCCUACGGGAGAAAGCAGGGGAUCUUCGGACCUUGCGCUAUCAGAUGAGCCCAGGUCGGAUUAGCUUGUUGGUGAGGUAACGGCUCACCAAGGCUGCGAUCCGUAACUGGUCUGAGAGGAUGAUCAGUCACACUGGAACUGAGACACGGUCCAGACUCCUACGGGAGGCAGCAGUGGGGAAUAUUGGACAAUGGGGGGAACCCUGAUCCAGCCAUGCCGCGUGUGUGAAGAAGGUCUUCGGAUUGUAAAGCACUUUAAGUUGGGAGGAAGGGCUGAUGCUUAAUACGUAUCAGUCUUGACGUUACCGACAGAAUAAGCACCGGCUAACUCUGUGCCAGCAGCCGCGGUAAUACAGAGGGUGCAAGCGUUAAUCGGAAUUACUGGGCGUAAAGCGCGCGUAGGUGGCUAAGUAAGAUGGGUGUGAAAUCCCCGGGCUCAACCUGGGAACUGCAUCCAUAACUGCUGAGCUAGAGUACGGUAGAGGGGUAGUGGGAUUUCCUGUGUAGCGGUGAAAUGCGUAGAUAUAGGAAGGAACACCAGUGGCGAAGGCGACUACCUGGACUGAUACUGACACUGAAGUGCGAAAGCGUGGGGAGCAAACGGAUUAGAUACCCUGGUAGUCACGCCGUAAGGACUGAUACUGACACUGAGGUGCGAAAGCGUGGGAGCAAACAGGAUUAGAUACCCUGGUAGUCCACGCCGUAAACGAUGUCAACUAGCCGUUGGGAACCUUGAGUUCUUAGUGGCGCAGCUAACGCACUAAGUUGACCGCCUGGGGAGUACGGUCGCAAGAUUAAAACUCGAAUGAAUUGACGGGGGCCCGCACAAGCGGUGGAGCAUGUGGUUUAAUUCGAAGCAACGCGAAGAACCUUACCUGGCCUUGACAUGCUGAGAACUUUCCAGAGAUGGAUUGGUGCCUUCGGGAACUCAGACACAGGUGCUGCAUGGCUGCCGUCAGCUCGUGUCGUGAGAUGUUGGGUUAAGUCCCGUAACGAGCGCAACCCUUGUCCUUAGUUACCAGCACGUUAUGGUGGGCACUCUAAGGAGACUGCCGGUGACAAACCGGAGGAAGGUGGGGAUGACGUCAAGUCAUCAUGGCCCUUACGGCCAGGGCUACACACGUGCUACAAUGGUCGGUACAAAGGGUUGCCAAGCCGCGAGGUGGAGCUAAUCCCAUAAAACCGAUCGUAGUCCGGAUUGGAGUCUGCAACUCGACUCCAUGAAGUCGGAAUCGCUAGUAAUCGUGGAUCAGAACGCCACGGUGAAUACGUUCCCGGGCCUUGUACACACCGCCCGUCACACCAUGGGAGUGGGUUGCACCAGAAGUAGCUAGUCUAACCUUCGGGAGGACGGUUACCACGGUGUGAUUCAUGACUGGGGUGAAGUCGUAACAAGGUAGCCGUAGGGGAACCUGCGGCUGGAUCACCUCCUUUCU